ACAAGUGGAAUGAGGGCGAGUCCCGGCCCACGAUGUUGGGGGACAGUUUAAAGAACCUCCCCUUCAGGGGUCUGGGGAAGGGCCCUGGGCGAGAGAAGCCCACCACAGGACCCUUCUCAAGUACUGCGGAAAGGGCUGGAACUCCCCAAGGAUGCGGAUAAGUGGGUGCGAGGAUGGAGUGGGCUCUGUCAUCUUGCCUUGGUAGCUGAGGGCCUUCCAUGGAACACUGGCAGCAACCGUCAGCAUCUGAGUGGAGGAAGGUCCUAGGCCUGCAGCCCAGCCAGAUGUGGCGGUCACUACCCUAAAGUGGACGGAUUUGACCAGCUUAGGCUCCCCACCUGCCUGGAGCAGUUUGGCCCUCCUCCAGCCACCCGCGUCCCAAGGGCUCUGAACUGGGAGCUUCCCUGCAGCGGAGGGAUAAAAACUGAAGUCACUGCCAGUCUGCAAGCUGGUUCCCCUUGGAUAUUUUACCAUGGCUUGAAUCUCUUAGCCUGAAAUGCGAUAUAUACUGUUGUAAUCCAAGUUCCCCUGUUCACUGCUGUUCAACUCCAGCGCUGCUACUGAAGGACGGAGCUCAGUUCCUAGCUACCCACGUUUAUACUUGCAGAGUCCUCCUCGACUCUGCUCUCCGCGAGUAUUCUCCACGUCCAUGCCAUUAACGGGAUGGGCCAUUUUGAACACACUUGGGUUCAGUUGAAAGAGCUGGAGACAACGUCUUUUGCUCUCAGAGAAUAGGGAUCAGCUUUAGAGGCGCCAACCCACCGAGUGUUGUGCUUCAUGGGUCAUGGAUGUCAACACUUCCUACUCUGAAGCCGGUCAUCACCUCUGAGACCUGGUCAGGUCCCCCCGAACGUGUACCAUACAUCUCCUUUAUCACAUUAAAUGUGGCAGAGCUUG
Long non-coding RNA from Neofelis nebulosa (Clouded leopard), 897 nucleotides. RefSeq lists it as uncharacterized. The transcript has 3 exons. The record is from RefSeq and is a predicted model, not a curated record. Lineage: Eukaryota; Metazoa; Chordata; Mammalia; Carnivora; Felidae.